Molecule: long non-coding RNA, 201 nt
Filed under: Lathyrus oleraceus (garden pea)
Lineage: Eukaryota; Viridiplantae; Streptophyta; Magnoliopsida; Fabales; Fabaceae
Description: Pisum sativum (pea) long non-coding RNA (PSAT_LNC003321)
Source: RNAcentral
AAGCUUCACACAUUUAUUGUUUUUAACAUUACAUUUGCAAUAUUUUUUUUGUAUUUAUUUUUUCCAUUUAUUUUAUUUCGAUUACGGUUAUUAUAAAUACGCCAUAUUAAUGAUUAAUACAAUGUGAUACUUAUGUAUUUUUAUCCAUUUCCUUUGAAUCUUUUCAUUGCUAAACAUCAGAUUCUAAUUUGUGGAUUCGAU